Molecule: ribosomal RNA, 449 nt
Filed under: uncultured bacterium
Lineage: Bacteria
Description: bacterial SSU rRNA
Rfam family: Bacterial small subunit ribosomal RNA
Source: RNAcentral
GUGGGGAAUAUUGGGCAAUGGGGGAAACCCUGACCCAGCCACGCCGCGUGAGUGAUGAAGGCCUUCGGGUCGUAAAGCUCUGUGGGGAGGGACGAAAAUACGCCGACUAAUACUCGGUGGACUGACGGUACCUCCUUAGCAAGCACCGGCUAACUCCGUGCCAGCAGCCGCGGUAAUACGGAGGGUGCAAACGUUGCUCGGAAUUAUUGGGCGUAAAGCGUGCGUAGGCGGUCCGGCAAGUCGGAUGUGAAAGCCCUCGGCUCAACCGAGGAAGUGCAUUCGAAACUAUCGGACUUGAGUACCGGAGAGGGUGACGGAAUUCCCGGUGUAGAGGUGAAAUUCGUAGAUAUCGGGAGGAACACCAGUGGCGAAGGCGGUCACCUGGACGGAUACUGACGCUGAGGCACGAAAGCGUGGGGAGCAAACAGGAUUAGAUACCCGGGUAGUCC